Molecule: long non-coding RNA, 635 nt
Organism: Drosophila hydei
Lineage: Eukaryota; Metazoa; Arthropoda; Insecta; Diptera; Drosophilidae
Exons: 3
Source: RefSeq, a predicted model, not a curated record
UCAGUUAGUAGCUUCUAAAAGCACAUAAUAUUGAUAAAUAAAUUUGACAUUCGAAAAAUAAAAUAUUGAAUUUUACUAUUCGUAUUUUAGAUCUGAUCGUAAUAAUGUGCACAAAGGCUUUUAAUACCAUGGCCAGCUAAACACUUUGUAUCGUCGUAGAUACCUUGGCAAACUUGAAGAAGCGCACAAAAAUUAUCGCAAAAUUGAAAGAUCUUCAUAAAUGCUGAUAUUUAUAAUUAUCAACUGCGAUGAAGCAUAUAAAAGAUAAUUAUUCUGUUUGACCAUUUUGAGGAUUAGUUUUGAAAUAGUUAGUAUCAAGCAAAUAUGCCCGAUAUGCCUGAAUAAUAUUCCAUACAUUUGUGCCAUAUUCAAAUCUGAAUCACACAUGUCCCUAUAAUCACGAUAUUAUAUUGGAGAAGUUGCCAGUACAAUAUAUAAACAAUGUGGUAAAGAACUUUAUUCCCGCUGGAUAAUAUUACUUGAACGUAACCCUUUAUAAUGACAACAUUCCUCGUACUAAUCUCAAUGUCUACUUUACAAAAUAUUAAUUUACCUAUUGUCAACUUUGCAAAAACAUACAGUCUUUAAGUCAAUUUUAAAUGGUUCAGUUAUUCAAAUAAAUUCUUAUGUAUAUU